Molecule: transfer RNA, 64 nt
Filed under: Dryococelus australis
Lineage: Eukaryota; Metazoa; Arthropoda; Insecta; Phasmatodea; Phasmatidae
Description: tRNA-Thr
Source: RNAcentral
GUUUUAAUAAUUUAAAUAAAAUAUUGGUCUUGUAAAUCAAAAAUGAAUAAUUUUUCUUAAAACU